RNAcentral lists this long non-coding RNA (1079 nucleotides) under Crocodylus porosus (Australian saltwater crocodile). RNAcentral's name for it is "lncRNA (ENSCPRG00005018878.1)". The record is from RNAcentral. Lineage: Eukaryota; Metazoa; Chordata; Crocodylia; Crocodylidae.
AGCUAAGUGGGAGGUUUACUAUACAUUACCUUUGCAGGUACUAUCCCCAUGCCAGAAGUUCCCCGGUAUGGCUAGGAAGGCCGCCUCUGUGGUCAUGGUGUUUCCCUUGCCAGGUAAGCAUAGACUACACUUGAGCUGUGCUUUCAAGAGGGAAGUCUACCUGAGGGGAAGUGUUGAAAGCCAGAGACAGAAGUGAAGAGCAGUGAUGGGCGGAGGCCACCAAGCCACCGGGGCAGCACUGCUAGGAGCUGGUGGGCAGCUGCAGCACCAAGACACAUCGCCCCCACGGCACAGAGGGCACCGAGUCUGAAGUAACGGCUAUGACAGCUCUGCCGUCUUAUCCUGCCAACCUAGGGGAGCUCCACCCGGAGCAUGCCUCUCCCGUAGGCUUCUCCAGGGUUACAGACAGAAUUUGGUCUCUGGACUUGGAUCUGGCCAGCAGCAGCACAGCAUAUUUGCCCUCAUCCUGCAUCCCUGAGGCAAUUACACUUUAACCUUCUCAUUUCUCUUCUCUUCUAAACUAAAUUCUUGAUUUGUCCAACUGAAAAGGAUCGGCAGGAUUAGCAACCUGAGCACAGAUGCACAAAGCCUUUCGCCUCCGGGCUGCAGGUCCUGGCUGACUCUGCCUGAUGGGUUUGACCAGACAGUCCUAUCCUCAGUCACUGAAAGAGGAAAAACAACAGUGCAGUAGCCUGGUGCUGUCCUUCCUCUUGGUCAUUUCUUACCCAGAGUGCCUGGGAGCUGCACCAUUUGACAGGUGUCGAGCAGUUAUUUCUGUAACAGCAUCAAUUCCGUUCUUUAUGGAACAAGACUGAACAUUAACUGUUAUCGAUUGUUAUUUCUGAAUCUCUCCAGACAAUGCUGCCAAAAGCCCAGCCACUGAACAUUUAAGGGUUAUAAGACCCUGGUGGGAAAAGCGUGUGCACAAACACAUUUACCGUAUUUACUUCAAUACAAGACAACGUUUUUCCCAAUUUGGCACUGGAAUUGUCUUACAAUUGCAUACAAGGAAAUCUCACUAAAUAUAUUGUCUAUCAUUAAACUGCUGCCAAAAGCAGCAUGUGUUCAGCAAUGGAAAC